Molecule: ribosomal RNA, 460 nt
Filed under: uncultured bacterium
Lineage: Bacteria
Description: partial 16S ribosomal RNA
Rfam family: Bacterial small subunit ribosomal RNA
Source: RNAcentral
ACUACGGGUGGCAGCAGUGAGGAAUAUUGGUCAAUGGACGAAAGGCUGAACCAGCCAAGUAGCGUGAGGGAAGACUGCCCUAUGGGUUGUAAACCUCUUUUAUGUGGGGAUAAAGGGGUCCACGUGUGGGAGUUUGUAGGUACCGUAUGAAUAAGGACCGGCUAAUUCCGUGCCAGCAGCCGCGGUAAUACGGAGGGUCCGAGCGGUAUCCGGAUUUAUUGGGUUUAAAGGGAGCGUAGGGGGGUUUUUAAGUGAGCCGUGAAAGUUUGUGGCUCAACCCUCAUAGUGCAGCUGAAACUGGCGACCUUGAGUGCGCGUGAGGCAGGCGGAAUUCGUGGUGUAGCGGUGAAAUGCUUAGAUAUCACGAAGAACCCCGAUUGCGAAGGCAGCCUACUGCAGCGUUACUGACGCUGAGGCUCGAAAGCGUGGGUAUCGAACAGGAUUAGAUACCCUAGUAGUC